GAUAGCGAAGUGGGAUUCCCAAGACUCCACGCGCAGAUUCAUAUUUCGACUGCGUUUUGUGUUCAUAUCCAUGCGUCUCUCUAGUAGUCGUCGACCUCCGAUAAAUAUUGAAAAACGAUGUUGAUUUGGUCAGAUCGGCGACGUUUGUCUCCAUCUGGUUUUCAUAUGGUCUUCAGUUUUUUGGUCAAGCAAAGCCCAACUGUCUUGCCGUAUUCACCUGACCAAUUCCAGUUCUCAUCUCUAAGGAGUAUACUAUCGCCAGCAAUAGAUGCUCGUAACGUAGAGUCGUACAUGUCGGAAAGCGGGCGACGAAAACAUAUGUAAAACGAAUAAUGAGAACGUCCUUCGAUGUCGUUCGUGGACACUCGUUUGAAGUUAAAGAAACUCAGUUCCUAUGUUAUGCUCAUCUUUUUCUUCAAAGUAUACAUAAGACCGCCGACACGAUGGGUUUGGCUAGAUGAACUAGGCUAAGUUGAAAUUAAAGAAUUGAAGAGAGAGAGAGAGAUCUGGUGAGGAUUGUCGCCCCUCGACGGAGAUCAACAAGGGUUGCGGCCCUUACUUGGGCUUCGUGGGGAGGGCACGACCCCUGCUUCAAAUUUGAGCAGGGCUUGCAAUCCUCACCAUCUUUUUUUAUGAUGGGUGGCGUCUCUUAUCUUUUUCUUGGACUUCAUUUGUUUUGCGGAAAAUGAAUAAUUAAGAGAAAAAUGAUUACUUGUAUCGGUUAAAAUAAUUACUCGACGAAAGAAAGCAGUGUUUUACAUGAGCUUGUUGAUGCCAGUACAUCUCUUCUUGUAACCACUACUCAUCUAACUUUGGAAGUAACCUCCUGCAUGUCAGCCUCUGGAGCAUAUCACCAUCCUGCAAGUUCUUGGAAACAGACUUCUCCAUGCAACAGUAGCUAGGCCUCUCAAUCCAACCUUUUCCUCUAUGAUCCCAUCCUCCAUAUCAUUACACCAGAGCCAAGGAUGGAGCCGCUAUUUGCAUUAAAGCUUGCCAAUUCUCUUGCUUCUCACGGACAUCAGGGUUGCCAUAGUUCCAGGAUACUCUAAUCUCCCUUCCCCAUUCUUCAAAGCCACUUCAAUUUGGAAAGAAACAAUGGCCCUAUCCUUUUAUUCCAUCCAGCUGGUCCUCCUCGCCAGGAAACUGAACCAGAUACCAGUUCCUCUGCCCUCCUCCUCCUUAUGACUCCCAGGUUUACUAGGAUCGGUACGGAUGGAUUGAAUGGAUUCAGAAACAUCAGGUGAAGGGUCAUCAGCGGAGUGAUUAGUAACAUGAGAUUCAGUGAAAGAACCACUAGGAUCGGGUUGUGUAGGGACUGCUUUGUUUGUAUUGAUGUGUGUGGUAUAUUGUGUCCAGGGCUGUUCGGGGUUUGUAUGAUGGAAGGAUGAGAAGGGUUGGUAUCAGGCUGAUAUGUGUAGGAAGUAUCAUGCAAAAGGGACGUUUGUGGAUUGUAAGAUAGGAGGGUCAGUAAGGUUGGACUCAGGGUAUGAAGGCCUCUUCGUGUUUCUUUUAUCUCUUCUAGCAAAACUGGCAUCUUUCCCCCCCAUUCUAUUAGCUCGCAAACCAGGACCAUGGUGCUGUCCAACAUCAAGCAGCUGACAAGCAAUCUAAGCAUGCCCCAAUCUUCCACAGUUAUAACAAAAAUCAGUUACUUGGUUCGUAUUUAAAUCGAUCCGAUAUUAAUCACCUUCAGUAGACAGAUCCCCAAGCCAGGUUCGGAGGAAAACAAAUAUCAAUCUCCACCUUAAUUCGCAAAAAAAAACUCCUCCUACCCCCAAGUCCUCCACACUGAUCUUCAACAUCCACGACUCUUGCCAAAAUCACCAAUUCUUCUAGCAUUCCCCGACUUCAUUUGAUUUGGAGCUAAACCAUAUAUUUGUAUAUGGAAUGCAGCAUAAUCAAAACAUAGAUCCUCCAACCUUCUCUUCUCAUCCCAAGCCUUCAGCACAAGGCAGUAUUUUAUAACAGACCAUGGACUAACAUUUAAAACACUGUCUGCAUACCUUUACGAGACACAAAAGUAAACAGGAAUUCAUUAUCUCCAACGUCAGCAAUGGAGAAAUAACCCAUAUCAGGAUAUCAGCCCAAGCCUUCUUGAGGACAUUGUGCACUGCUGUUUUAUCCAAUAGACACGAGGCUAUCAUCUCUUCAGCAUCCAACCAACAGGAUUUAUCAGAUUCACCGUCUCUAGCUCAAAACUGAGUCGUCUGCCUCUUCUACUUGGAAAGACUUAGAUUUGUAUUAGCCAUCAACCACUCAUAGGAACAAAAGCCCUGCAAAUGAAGAUGGGAAACUAUGCGAGAAUGACGAACAGAGUUAAGAGAGUGAAAGAGAAAAAAUGCCGAUUGUAGAUCAAAUGUCACAAUUGAGAAUGAUCCAUUGAAGGAGAAAUGUAACAGUGAGGAGACUAAGCUAGGAAAAUGUAACAGGGGGCGAAUGGAGAAGAUCAGAGAUGCCAAAGAUCGAAUGUAAUCAAAGAUCGGACCUAGAAAGAAAUGGGGAUGAUCAGAAGUGACAGGAUUGAAGAUCGGACAAAACCGCUCUAAACUGAGCGCCAAGCAUACUAUGCCUCGAGUCCAGUUUCAUUCUCUGAACGUUUCUUUCACUAUUCUAUAGACUUAGAAGCCUUAAAACAUAUUCAUAUAACUCCCGCCCAAAAUAACCCAAUGCGGGAGGUGUAUUUCGAUAGAUCAUCAGAUUCAAUGGCGCUCUAACAAUUGGGCUGCGUUUCGUAA
Molecule: long non-coding RNA, 2735 nt
Organism: Syzygium oleosum
Lineage: Eukaryota; Viridiplantae; Streptophyta; Magnoliopsida; Myrtales; Myrtaceae
Exons: 2
Source: RefSeq, a predicted model, not a curated record